ACAGGUAAAAUAAAUAAUUAUAGAUAGAAAAGUUUAAAUGUAUGAAGAUACACAACAACUAUAAUUUGUAUGAUGUUACAAUCAGGUAAGAACAAGUAAAAUUCUAAAUUUUGAAUUUCAUAAUGGGUCAUAUCUGUUUUUGAAUUAAUCGCCCUUAAAUUAAAGUUUUGAAAUCUUCAAUCCAGCAAUAACAAGACAACACGCAAAACCACACCCGUAGACCAAACAGUAUACAAAGUAUGGCGGCCUAUAUAAAAACGAGAAACAAAGAAAACUUAUAAACCACAAAAACAAACGACAAAGUUCACAUCAAUUAAUGAUAAGAAUGAUUAAGAAUUUAACCAAACGAUAUCAACACGUAAGAGUAUGAUGUCCUUGGUCGAAUAACAAAGCGUGCAUGAUACCGCAAGUCAAACCACACAUCAUACACAUGGUCUGUUGAUUUUAUAGAAAUAAACGCGGAAACAAUUCAUCUGGUAAUUACAUUAUAUAUGCGUAUCAAUUUAGGAUAUACGUGUGCCUUUCCGCUUAAUAAUUGUUCGUGUAAUGGGGAUUGCUCUUUUCAACCCUAUAUCUUAAAAGCUGACUACAUAUAUCUGGCACCUCAGUAUAUACUAUUCCUAUACAGUUUUACAAUUAGAAAAUUGGGCCAGCAAAUAAACUACUUUUAAUGUACUUGUUUAAUGAGAGAAAACAACUUGAAAUAACAACGAACAUAUACUAACAAACAUAUUUAAAAUGGCUCUUUAUUACACUCUUAGUUUGUACCAAAGUAUGAUUCUAAAUCAAAUGUAAGUGUAUGAAUCAGUUAUAAGUUCAAGAAAAGAAGUUUGAUUAGUUUAUAAUUUUCUCUCUUUAAUUUGAAUUAUUUCAAAAGUACCUGUUUUAAAGAUUUUGGUAUUUGAAAUGUCAGCGUCAUAAAAAAAACUUGACAUUGGUUGUUAUGUUGUGUUUACAGAUUCAAAUAUAAUUGAAUGAAUGCGCGAAGAAAAAAGAACGUAUCACUUAAGUGUUGACCAUUUUUUUUUUACAAAAUUGAAGCACCAUAAUUGUUGAUAGCUUUAUAGAUAAUCAUCAUUCCGAAUACCAUUAAAUGAUAAUACAAAACUGAAGAGUGUUUGCAUCUUAGAAAAAUCUCUCUGUCCAUAAAUUCAAGUUUUGUCCUUUUCUAUUUCAUGAUUUUGUGUACACCAAAAGUGAAAACACAGGUAAAGAGUUAUAAAGUAUGCAUAAUGAGACAAAUUAAUGGCAAAUGUUUAUGUGUUUCGAUAAACAUACUAUAGCUUCAUUCAUUUAUUAAAAUUGUCUUAACCUGUAAUUUUUUUUAAAUAAAAACAAAACAAUCUACGAAUUUUACACAAUGUUUGCAAUUGUCUGAGCUUCCAACUUCUUAAUAAUCGCUCAAUAGUCCCGAAUGAAAAUCAUAAGGUGUAAAAUUUUAGUAAAAACUGCUGUUUACACGUUUUCAAACCCUACCAAUAUAUUUUUAAAAUGCAAUUCAAGUUAAAUGAAAAAUGGAGCGAAAUGGAGCGAAAUGGAGCGAAUUCAGGCUUGUCAACAGUGUAAACAUUUUGUGUGAUGCAUAAAGUUUAAUUUACUCUUAGGUCUCAUGAAUUUUAGAAACCUCAAUUUUUUUUCUAUUCUUUUCGUAAAUAAACUAGCUUACUGUUGGACUUGUUAGAUAUUCCCAAUAGGAAUUGACAUUUCAGUUUUCGUUGCUAAGCCAAAAAACAUAUAUUUUAGCUUUUUAGUAAGCACAAUUUUUUGUAUUCAUAUUUUUUCAUAGGUUCAACGUGUGGAUUGUAGAUCGGGUGAAGUGGAUAUCAUAAGGCACCAUCUUUGUGUUCAAAUAAGACACGUAACUUUCAGAAAUGACCACUAACGAAAUUGCAUCAUGCUGCAACAUUUGUCUAACCAGGGACCUAAAUAAGUUGGCGGAGGAAUAUUGUCCGCAAUGUGAAGAGGCUCUUUGUGGAGACUGUCAACAUUAUCAUAAUAUAUCGAAAUCAACAAAAUCACAUCAGACAAUCUCUUUAGCAAAAUAUAACAAAUUACUGUGGAUUCAUUAUUAUUCGUUGGAUACCAAUUUUCGUGGUUUUCGUGGGUACAGGUGAACCACGAAUUCAAAUAUUCAAC
RNAcentral lists this long non-coding RNA (2136 nucleotides) under Mytilus galloprovincialis (Mediterranean mussel). The record is from RNAcentral. Lineage: Eukaryota; Metazoa; Mollusca; Bivalvia; Mytilida; Mytilidae.